RNAcentral lists this ribosomal RNA (19 nucleotides) under Bacidia schweinitzii. Its description in RNAcentral is "partial 28S ribosomal RNA". Lineage: Eukaryota; Fungi; Ascomycota; Lecanoromycetes; Lecanorales; Ramalinaceae. The record is from RNAcentral.
AAAUCUCCAACGAUUGACC